UAAUACAUGCAAGUCGAGCGAACAGAUGAAGUGCUUGCACUUCUGACGUUAGCGGCGAACGGGUGAGUAACACGUAAGGAAUCUACCUAUAAGCGGGGGAUAACAUUCGGAAACGGGUGCUAAUACCGCAUAAUAUYUUCUUCCGCAUGGAAGAAGAUUGAAAGACGGCUCUGCUGUCACUUAUAGAUGACCUUGCGGUGCAUUAGUUAGUUGGUGGGGUAAUGGCCUACCAAGACGAUGAUGCAUAGCCGACCUGAGAGGGUGAUCGGCCACAUUGGGACUGAGACACGGCCCAAACUCCUACGGGAGGCAGCAGUAGGGAAUCUUCCGCAAUGGGCGAAAGCCUGACGGAGCAAUGCCGCGUGAGUGAAGAAGGCCUUCGGGUCGUAAAACUCUGUUAUAAGAGAAGAACAAAUUGUAGAGUAACUGCUACAGUCUUGACGGUAUCUUAUCAGAAAGCCACGGCUAACUACGUGCCAGCAGCCGCGGUAA
RNAcentral lists this ribosomal RNA (492 nucleotides) under Aerococcus viridans. RNAcentral describes it as "bacterial SSU rRNA". It matches the Rfam family "Bacterial small subunit ribosomal RNA", at positions 49 to 523 of the family's 1533-position model. Lineage: Bacteria; Bacillati; Bacillota; Bacilli; Lactobacillales; Aerococcaceae. The record is from RNAcentral.